GAGAAAACAAUGCAUUUAUUUUCAUUUCAAUGGCGUUGUCAGUAUGCAAAAUGGUAAUUUCUGUUGCAUCCUACCAAAUGCACUGUUUGGUGUGGGGUGACCUCGCAGGAAGUUAUCGGGCAAAAUUGUAAAUACAAGAGUUUCAAAGAUAACUAAUGUAAUCAAUGUAAUGUAAUCAAUGUAAUGUAAUGUAACUAAUGUAAUGUUCCAACUUUCUCUUUGUCUUAUCUUCCUAGCACUGUUAGCUCUCCCUCUCAUGAUCUCAUCUUCAGUAGUGCUUCUGCCAUGAUAACAUUAGCUGUCUAUAAAAUAUUGCUAAUUUUAUGAAAUGUCAGCUACUCCAUUACCUCUCAGCAAACAGUGUGCACAUGUGUAAAUCAUCAAAAUACUGAUAGACUCCAAACAUGUCAGCUACUCCUGACUCCCUAAUAACUCUCAGCAUACAGUGUACACAGAGUUAAAGCAGCAGGAUACUGAUAUACUCCUUAUUACCUUUGCAGCUGGCGAUAUAACUAAUCUGCAGUGGUAGCAUGGAGCCAAGAAGUAGCUGACAUGGUUAACAGAAGAAGAAUCAUAUCAGUCCUCACAGUCAAAGCCCCAGUCCUGCAGUUUUAAGCUUCACAACUUUUCAAGUACUUGGCACAGCAUGGGUGUCUCAGG
Non-coding RNA from Pelobates cultripes (western spadefoot toad), 660 nucleotides. The record is from the annotation of a GenBank genome assembly. NCBI's taxonomy places the organism in Eukaryota, Metazoa, Chordata, Amphibia, Anura, Pelobatidae.